This 585-nucleotide long non-coding RNA is filed under the name Danio rerio (zebrafish). Its description in RNAcentral is "si:ch211-69k21.3 (ENSDARG00000092557.3)". The record is from RNAcentral. Lineage: Eukaryota; Metazoa; Chordata; Actinopteri; Cypriniformes; Danionidae.
ACGUUUUCCUGCCGCGCCUGAUAACGGAGCUUCGCGGUGAAGUAAAGCACCAUGUGCUGCUGGUCCGCGAGAACCAAACACUGACUGACUGACUUACAACUAACUUAUAACAGGACAACAAUAACCAGCAAAUCCUCCAGAACUGAUGGAAAACACGCUUCAAGUAAGAGGGAACAGCUGUAACAGAUGUUUGUCGUCUUCUUACCUUAUCGCGGGGCUCAGAGGGAUACUCGCCGUGUUGCAGGAAAACUUUUCUUCAGCUUGGUUUCUCCAGCUGAGCUGCGAUGUUUCUGCGGGUUGACAGCUGCGGUACAGGCUGCUGGACAAGUGCUUCAAGAAUCUGCAGAAGUUCUCCAGUGGAGGGAGCGUCUGCUGUCCUUUCAGACUGCUGAACCACUGAACAGGGAAACACUCCACCACCUGACGGCAGCAGUGAGACACAUUCAGAGCUACCAGAACACUAAUCUGUGAGCACUACACUAGAGAGGACCAUUCUGCCACAGGAUUAAAACAACAAUAAAAAGAUAAAUGUGACUUGUCAUCAGUGUGCAAAUUAUACACUGAUGAACAGGGGGUCAACUUUAU